This 345-nucleotide ribosomal RNA is filed under the name Triticum aestivum (bread wheat). Its description in RNAcentral is "partial small subunit ribosomal RNA". The record is from RNAcentral. Lineage: Eukaryota; Viridiplantae; Streptophyta; Magnoliopsida; Poales; Poaceae.
AUGGUUGCAUGUGAUUUUGAUAAUCAUUUCGUCCAUAUUAGUAGCGGAUGGGAAGGUCCAGCUUCUGAUGCUCGAGUGCUACAAUAUGUUCUUCAAAAUAAUUUCUAUGUCCCUGAAGGAAAGUUUUAUUUGGUGGAUGCGGGUUAUGCGAAUACGCCUAACUUCAUCGUCCCUUAUCGCAAUGUAAGGUACCAUUUGGUGGAGCAAGCAAAAUGCAAUCAGCACCCACAAAACUCUCGAGAGCUAUUCAAUCUGAGGCAUGCACAACUUCGUAAUCAUGUUGAGCGUCUCAUUGGAGUACUGAAGAAGCGUUUUCCCAUACUGAAGUGUGCCUCGCAAUACCCC